GAAGAAUGCCACACAGCAGGAAGAAGAGAGCAGGGCAGGAGCUGGUAUGCCUGCGUGGUAUGGGGGAAGCGACGGCUUUCCUGUGGGCUCUCCUGGCUACGCUCCUUGCCAGCGGAAGGCUCGUGCUGAAGAGGGGCUGUGUUACACCUGUAUGCAGACAGCAAGCCAGCCACCCAUCUUGCAACGUGUGCACAUCGGGGCUUAUCGGGUAUUUUUUGGAGAGUAUCUGAAGUUUUUCAUCCUUGCUUUGCAGCAGCAACAAGAAACCUAGCGUGAAUGAGACUUAAGCGUAAGUGCCAGCACACGCAACGUGCGUCUGACUGCGUUGGGCACUUUGGACCAGAAGACGUGAGAAGUUAAUGGUUAUUGUACGACCACAGGAUGGCGUAUCGUGGCUUGCAAAGCACGGCAUGGUAUUUAAUGAGCAGCAGUUAUUUCAGCUGAAGUGCGUCUAAGUUGAGUUCACCCUGCAACCCCUGUUGCUGGAAGUUUCUAUUGUUUUCUUUCUUUUCACUCAAAUGUAACCUCCUCCUUUCAGUGUACACGAUAGUUUUCCAGAGUCAGGUUUGGACUUCAUUGUACCAAUAACAUUAAAACUGAUAAAAAUGAAGAGAUGGAGCUCUGAUUAUGAGAAAGACACAUUCUCAUACUAGAGGAGAGACUUUGAUCAAAUUUACUGACAACCUGAAAUGAAUGAAAGACCCUACUCACAGCAAGAGAGCUUUUCUAGGAGUAUAUUGCAUAUUGGCUGUUUUCCCAGCCCUGGGAAGUCUUUCAGAAGCAUGCUGUGGCACAUUUCAGUUAGUUUUAGUGAAUUGCAGUGUACAAGCUGGGUUCUUUCUCCUGAAGUGCUGAUGCUGCAGCAUUCCCGUCAGACCGCAGGCAGCAAGCAUCUUUCUGUUAUUUCUCUAUGUGGGCACAUACAAACCUGGGUCUUGGAGAAUUUACAGCAGCUUCAGCUUUGUAACCUACAGUGCAAAGGGGAAUGUCUGCCCGCACGGAGCGAGCGUCCGACCAUGCAGCUGUGCUCUGGUGCUGUGUCCAGGUUAACUUCACAUGGCAGCCACCGAAAGCGUGCACUGAAGAACGUGCCCAGAGGAAGUUUCUCCACGCUGGUGGCUCACCGGGCCGGGCAGGAAGCAGCAGGUCGCAGUUAG
Anser brachyrhynchus (Pink-footed goose) is the source of this 1157-nucleotide long non-coding RNA. Lineage: Eukaryota; Metazoa; Chordata; Aves; Anseriformes; Anatidae. The record is from Ensembl.